CAAUAGCGUAUAUUAAAGUUGUUGCAGUUAAAAAGCUCGUAGUUGGAUUUCUGGUCGGAAGCUCCUGUCCUCUGAUGAGCGUACAAGUGCGUCCUACCAUCCUUCUGUUAACCUCUAAGGCUUUCGCGGCUUUCUAGGGGCUCAGAUAUUUUACCUUGAGAAAAUUAGAGUGUUUCAGGCAGGCUAGCGCCGGAAUACAUUAGCAUGGAAUAAUGGAAUAGGACUUUUGCCUCUUCUGUUGGUCAUGAGGCUCGAGUAAUGAUUAAUAGGGAUAGUUGGGGGCAUUAGUACUUAACUGUCAGAGGUGAAAUUCUCGGAUUUGUUAAAGACUAACUUAUGCGAAAGCAUUUGCCAAGGAUGUUUNCAUUAA
This 370-nucleotide ribosomal RNA is filed under the name uncultured eukaryote. RNAcentral's name for it is "partial 18S ribosomal RNA". It matches the Rfam family "Eukaryotic small subunit ribosomal RNA", at positions 592 to 976 of the family's 1831-position model. The record is from RNAcentral.